GCAAUCCCCUAACCUGAUAAUCUUUUAUUAUUUACUAAACCUUACCUUUUAUAUGCUUGUUUACAUUCCUAAAGGACAAAUGUGUAUUCUAGUAAAUAAAAAGCAAAGGGGACCAAAAAGUCAGGGAACCUCUCCACUAGAGAGUAAGAUCUCCUCCUGGCUCCCCCCAUGCCUUCUAAAUUUAUAUUUCUUGUCUAGUAUAUCCGUUUAUAUGCAGCCCCUUCUCCAGAUCCUGAAUCCUUGCUGCAAAUGGUUGUGGCAUUUUGGCACCUCAAAAAGGACAUCUGGAGAAGAAGAUUCAAUGGAGCGAAAAACGAAGAUAGUUCGCCGGAAAGAAAAUUCCUCCAAGCCAGUGCAGAUUCCUGCAACAAUGGAUCUGAGAGAGGAACUGACCAGACUACUCCAACCACAGAUAGCAGUGGCCCCAAGGAACACACUGAUGAAACAGAGGAGAAAUAGUCCAGAGAUGGGGGAUGGUAAAGACGCCUUGCCAUGCUAGCAGUCAUCAGCUGUGAAUCAGUGCAUGUUGCCCUGGACAAAGCCAGAGAAAGUUGGACCUGCAUUGUCAUUGCCCACCAUUUGUCCACCAUCCAGAACUGGAAUAUCAUUGCUGUCAUGUCACAGGGGACAGUGAUUUGGAAGAGGAUUCAAAGAACUAAUGGCCCAGAAAGGAGCUUGAUGCAAACUAGUUCCUUUGAUGCCUGGCAGCAAUUUUAAAAGACAUGAAAGAACUCAAUCCUUUUCAUUGAAUCUAAAAGUCUUAAAAGGACUUAAGCUCUUCAGGCGGCAUAUAUCUUUCAAAAUUUAUUAAAAAAAACAAAAAAGGGGGAUAUGUGGAAGCUACCCAUUGUCUACACUAUCAUGAAAGUGCAGCAGGGAACACAGAAGGCUGGUGGACCUUGGGCUUUAGCAAGGGCUAAAAGCUAUGUACCAAUUGUUCUGUCGAGACAAUGGUGGGCUCAUGGCAAUCCCCUCACUUGAUCAUUUUUUAUUGAUUACCAAACCUUAUCUUUGAUAUGCUUGUUUACAUUCCUAAAGGGCAAAUGUGUAUUCUAGUAAAUAAAAAGCAAAGGGGACCGAAAAGUCAGGGGACCUCUCCACUGGAGAGUAAGGUCUCUGCCUGGCUCCCCCCAUGCCUCCUAAACUUA
Myotis brandtii (Brandt's bat) is the source of this 1148-nucleotide long non-coding RNA. RefSeq lists it as uncharacterized. The transcript is spliced from 2 exons. NCBI's taxonomy places the organism in Eukaryota, Metazoa, Chordata, Mammalia, Chiroptera, Vespertilionidae. The record is from RefSeq and is a predicted model, not a curated record.